UGUGGAGCGGACUUCUUCUUCCAAGAGAAAGUCCAUUGGAAGGAAGAAGGCUAAAUCUGUGAAGAAGCAGAAGAGAGAGAGCAAGCUAAAGAAGGAUGGUCCAAAGGCGGCAAGGCAAAGGAAAAGUUUUUUCAUUGUCAUGCUGAAGGCCACUGGAGGAGGAACUGUCCUAAAUACCUGGAGAGCCUAAAGACUAAAAAAGAUGACAAACCUUCUGAAGGUAUGCUCGUAAUUGAAUCUAACUUUAUGGCUUCUUCAACUUCUAGUUGGGU
RNAcentral lists this long non-coding RNA (272 nucleotides) under Elaeis guineensis (African oil palm). RNAcentral's name for it is "long non-coding RNA (EGUI_LNC057178)". The record is from RNAcentral. Lineage: Eukaryota; Viridiplantae; Streptophyta; Magnoliopsida; Arecales; Arecaceae.